GAAAUUGAUGUUGAGAAGUCUCUGAAGGGUGUUGUGCUUGCAAGGGUAUCCCAGAGCACCCAAAGGACCGCAGGCAGGGAGCUGGCUGCUGCCCCAACACCAGCAGUUCAGAGCAUCUGUGCACCUCCGUAACCAAAAUCUAUGCUUCAUAUCCUAAGCAAGAUAAUGUAUCCCACAUUGGUCGAAAGUAAGGGGAGACCUCAUUGUCCCAGCAGUGCCAGGAUGCAGGAGAUAAUGGAGAACAGAAACAUGCAUCUUCCUGGAACAAGCCUCACCAGACAAUUUCUCCUCAGUUUGCCCUUGUUGUACCCUCCUGCGGUACAUACAGCCUCAAACAUGAGGCAACAGAGCAUGUGGGAAGACAACAUGAAAGCCACUGCUUGUUCUGGACUCUUACUCAGGUUCUGUCAUCUCAGGAGUGGGAUGGAUACCCUGGUGCCAAAAUCACCACAUUGCCACAGAACGGGAUUUGCCCAGUCUUGGGAUUUUCUGUAGCAGUCUUGUUAGAAACCAUCAGAGGAAGGACAGCUGGUUACAGGAAUGGAU
Columba livia (rock pigeon) is the source of this 546-nucleotide long non-coding RNA. RefSeq lists it as uncharacterized. The record is from RefSeq and is a predicted model, not a curated record. Lineage: Eukaryota; Metazoa; Chordata; Aves; Columbiformes; Columbidae. The transcript has 3 exons.